UACGGAGGAUGCAAGCGUUAUCCGGAUUUAUUGGGUUUAAAGGGUGCGCAGGUUGUUUGAUAAGUCAGUGGUGAAAGUCUGUCGCUUAACGGUAGGAUUGCCAUUGAUACUGUUAGACUUGAAUAUGGAUGAGGUAGGCGGAAUGUGUAGUGUAGCGGUGAAAUGCUUAGAGAUCACACAGAAUAUCGAUUGCGAAGGCAGCUCACAAAGCCAAGAUUGACGCUGAGGCACGAAAGUGUGGGGAUCAAACA
This 251-nucleotide ribosomal RNA is filed under the name uncultured prokaryote. RNAcentral's name for it is "partial 16S ribosomal RNA". It matches the Rfam family "Bacterial small subunit ribosomal RNA", at positions 524 to 774 of the family's 1533-position model. The record is from RNAcentral.